Long non-coding RNA from Eucalyptus grandis, 1571 nucleotides. RefSeq lists it as uncharacterized. The record is from RefSeq and is a predicted model, not a curated record. Lineage: Eukaryota; Viridiplantae; Streptophyta; Magnoliopsida; Myrtales; Myrtaceae. The transcript is spliced from 2 exons.
AACACCAUCAUUUCCCUUCCCCCCAUCUUUCUCCUCUGCCGCAUCAACCAUCGCCUCCACUUUCUUGUUUGCUGCCCCCAUCAUCCAACUCCAUUUGUACGCCCUCAUCCCACCACCUUCCAUCCAUCACGCCAGCAUCCAUCACCUACCGCCCAACUCCAUAGCAAUUGUCCACCAUAACUCCACGCCUGCAGCCACCAAUAGCUAGCAGCCCGUCCCCACCGUUAGCUCCGUCCAACAGCCGCGCCGUCACCAUCGAGCAGCCACCACACCUUAGCCACCAGCAUCCACCCAAACCGAGACCAAGUUGAGCCGAACCCUUCCUUUUGGCCGUGAGCUAGUUAGGCCAUCACGGUCGUCAGUGGAACUUCGUUAGAGUCACGGUAAACUCCGGUUCUCGUCGCCGUCACGUUGCCAUCGCCGUGAACCCACCGCCGUCGAAUUUCGUGGAACUCGUCACUCAACGGGAGUUUGGGGGCGAUGCCUAAUUUUAUCGGAUGCUUGGUGAGGGUCUAGAAGCCGGUAGCGGUGGAGGCUGGACCAAUGCUCCUUUAUGGGAUGCCGUCUAGGCAGGGGUUCUAGACGUUGCCGUGCCCGAUGGGGCGGGACGAUGCCUGAUUUUUAUUGAAUGCCUGACGGGGGUUUGGAUGAUCGCCGACUGGGGAGUUGGCUAUGGCCGAUGGGCCUUAAUAACUAAAACAUGCCUGAGUGAUUGAAAGAGUUGUGCCUUAUUAUCGGGCAAAAUUAUGUGGCACGGUAUGAGGCGUGUCAUAACGGUUUGGCCUUAUAAUUGUGACCCUUGUGAUUGAUUGAUAUAUGAAAGUGAGGCAUUCCUAUUGUUGAUUACGCUUGCUGCGUGUAUAAAUGUAUAUGAGAUGUACUAAUAUGCAGUAAGGUGCUAAGGCGAGGUAAGUUCUGAGUGGUGCAUGUUUAGGACGCCUUUGAGUGAAUUCUCGUCAUAAUCGGGGUUUAGAGUGUUGACUCGCUGAGACAUUAUCUCACCCUGUCGUGGUUUAAAUUUUUCAAGUCCCUAGUGUGGAGAACCUGGAGCCCGAGGCUAAAGGGUCUGGAGCGUAGAUGGCCCAGUAGAUUCUUUUGGGUCAAACCUUCUGUUUAUAGACCUAUAAGACUGGUUUGAUAUGUGUAUAAAGUGAUCUGUGAUAAUUGGCUUGUCUUUCCACUAUCCCAAUGUUUGAUGGUGGUCAGGGUAUCUGUUUAUUUCGCUUCCGCAUGUUCAUAAAAUGAAAGAGUCGGUGACGCAUCUUGGGAACGUCGCAAAAUUUUAGUUGACCGCCGAGGGAUGUGUACAUGCCCGAGGUUCGAGGUGUGACAUAGAGUGCUUGAAGUCUUGCUCAUAAUGCUGCAACAUUCUUCUCGUCAGCAACUCCUAUUAAAAUCUCACCUGACAAGUUCAACAGAAUUGUGCUAUUUGCUCUUUCCAUUAGAUCUAUCCUCUCAGCGGCUUUCAUUAUAGUUAGCAACUCAUCUUCAUUAUCAAGUGUCUUGGCCAAACCUUGGUUGUUAAUAAUGCCCGCAUCUUGAUGCUCCAUAACCCAAAGUUGUUCCUCUCA